GACGUAGGUGGCGAGCGUUGUUCGGAAUUACUGGGCGUAAAGGGCUCGUAGGCGGCCAACUAAGUCGGACGUGAAAUCCCCAGGCUCAACCUGGGAACUGCGUCUGAUACUGGAUGGCUUGAAUCCGGGAGAGGGAUGCAGAAUUCCAGGUGUAGCGGUGAAAUGCGUAGAUAUCUGGAGGAAUACCGGUGGCGAAGGCGGCAUCCUGGACCGGCAUUGACGCUGAGGAGCGAAAGCCAGGGGAGCAAACGGG
This 253-nucleotide ribosomal RNA is filed under the name uncultured bacterium. RNAcentral describes it as "partial 16S ribosomal RNA". It matches the Rfam family "Bacterial small subunit ribosomal RNA", at positions 524 to 776 of the family's 1533-position model. The record is from RNAcentral.